AGAGGAAUAGCUGGGUCAAAUGGUGGCUCCAUUCUCUGAUUUACAAGGAAUCUCCAUAUUACUUUCCAAAUUGGCUGCACCAAUUUUCAGUCCCACCAGCAAU
This 103-nucleotide microRNA precursor is filed under the name Marmota monax (woodchuck). Lineage: Eukaryota; Metazoa; Chordata; Mammalia; Rodentia; Sciuridae. The record is from RNAcentral.